Long non-coding RNA from Eucalyptus grandis, 298 nucleotides. RefSeq lists it as uncharacterized. NCBI's taxonomy places the organism in Eukaryota, Viridiplantae, Streptophyta, Magnoliopsida, Myrtales, Myrtaceae. The transcript has 2 exons. The record is from RefSeq and is a predicted model, not a curated record.
UUCUCUCGCAUCGGAUCUGAUCCGCUGGAACGGCUGGUCGAGGACCUUGGAGUUCAAGGCUCAGAUUCACGCAGCCUGUUUAGAUUGCAUAAUAGGUAAUUCCCCUGCAGCAGCGGUGACAGCGUCGUUGGCAGCCCCAGCUUCAAUCCUUCGCCGUUCAUUCAAGAUGAACGAUUGCUGUAUCGUACAGGGAUGGAAAUGGUGUUGGCAUUGAGAUCAUUCUAGAUGUUGUGUACAGUCACAUUAAUGAGGUUAAUGAUAAGAGUCCUUAUACAAUUUCUUUGCGUGGGAUUGAUAA